CUGCAGCCCGAGUGGUGAUCGAUUUUAUUGAGCCUAAAGCGUCCGUAGCCGGACUAGUAAACCCUUGGGUAAAUUGGGCAGCUUAACUGUCCAAAUUCCGAGGGGACUGCUAGUCUUGGGACCGGGAGAGGUCAGAGGUACUCAAGGGGUAGGGGCUAAAUCCUGUAAUCCUUUGGGGACCACCAGUGGCGAGGGCGUCUGACUAGAACGGAUCCGACGGUAAGGGACGAAACCCUGGGGCGCGAACCGGAUUAGAUACCCCCGUAGUCC
Molecule: ribosomal RNA, 270 nt
Filed under: uncultured archaeon
Lineage: Archaea
Description: partial 16S ribosomal RNA
Rfam family: Archaeal small subunit ribosomal RNA
Source: RNAcentral